UACGUAGGGUGCAAGCGUUAAUCGGAAUUACUGGGCGUAAAGCGUGCGCAGGCGGCUAUGCAAGACAGAUGUGAAAUCCCCGGGCUCAACCUGGGAACUGCAUUUGUGACUGCAUGGCUAGAGUACGGUAGAGGGGGAUGGAAUUCCGCGUGUAGCAGUGAAAUGCGUAGAUAUGCGGAGGAACACCGAUGGCGAAGGCAGUCCCCUGGACCUGUACUGACGCUCAUGCACGAAAGCGUGGGGAGCAAACAGG
Molecule: ribosomal RNA, 253 nt
Filed under: uncultured bacterium
Lineage: Bacteria
Description: partial 16S ribosomal RNA
Rfam family: Bacterial small subunit ribosomal RNA
Source: RNAcentral